Molecule: ribosomal RNA, 352 nt
Filed under: Anaplasma phagocytophilum
Lineage: Bacteria; Pseudomonadati; Pseudomonadota; Alphaproteobacteria; Rickettsiales; Anaplasmataceae
Description: bacterial SSU rRNA
Rfam family: Bacterial small subunit ribosomal RNA
Source: RNAcentral
UUAGUGGCAGACGGGUGAGUAAUGCAUAGGAAUCUACCUAGUAGUAUAGGAUAGCCACUAGAAAUGGUGGGUAAUACUGUAUAAUCCCUGCGGGGGAAAGAUUUAUCGCUACAUGAUGAGCCUAUGUUAGAUUAGCUAGUUGGUGGGGUAAUGGCCUACCAAGGCAGUGAUCUGUAGCUGGUCUGAGAGGAUGAUCAGCCACACUGGAACUGAGACACGGUCCAGACUCCUACGGGAGGCAGCAGUGGGGAAUAUUGGACAAUGGGCGCAAGCCUGAUCCAGCUAUGCCGCGUGAGUGAGGAAGGCCUUAGGGUUGUAAAACUCUUUCAGUAGGGAAGAUAAUGACGGUACC